AACGCGAAGAACCUUACCUGGCCUUGACAUGCAUCUCUAAGUUGGUGAAAGCCAGCGAGUCUCGAAAGAGACAAUUUGCACAGGUGCUGCAUGGCUGUCGUCAGCUCGUGUCGUGAGAUGUUGGGUUAAGUCCAGCAACGAGCGCAACCCCUGGGUUUAGUUGCCAGCACGUAAUGGUGGGAACUCUAGACCAACUGCCUACGCAAGUAGUGAGGAAGGUGGGGACGACGUCAAGUCAUCAUGGCCCUUACGCCUAGGGCAACACACGUGCUACAAUGGCGACUACAACGCGCUGCAAUACCGCGAGGUGGAGCGAAUCGCUAAAAAGUCGUCUCAGUUCGAAUCGGAGUCUGCAACUCGACUCCGUGAAGUUGGAAUUGCUAGUAAUCGGGGGUCAGCACACCCCGGUGAAUACGUUCCCGGGCCUUGUACACACCGAGUAUA
Molecule: ribosomal RNA, 444 nt
Filed under: uncultured bacterium
Lineage: Bacteria
Description: bacterial SSU rRNA
Rfam family: Bacterial small subunit ribosomal RNA
Source: RNAcentral